GCCAGACUCCUACGGGAGGCAGCAGUGGGGAAUAUUGCACAAUGGGGGGAACCCUGAUGCAGCGACGCCGCGUGGGCGAGGAAGUAUUUCGGUAUGUAAAGCCCUAUCGGCAGGGAAGAAGAAAUGACGGUACCUGAAUAAGAAGCACCGGCUAAAUACGUGCCAGCAGCCGCGGUAAUACGUAUGGUGCAAGCGUUAUCCGGAUUUACUGGGCGUAAAGGGAGCGCAGGCGGCGCGCCAAGUCUGAUGUGAAACCCCGGGGCUCAACCCCGGGCAUGCAUUGGAAACUGGCGGGCUGGAGUGCCGGAGAGGUAAGCGGAAUUCCUAGUGUAGCGGUGAAAUGCGUAGAUAUUAGGAGGAACACCAGUGGCGAAGGCGACUUUCUGGACUGUACCUGACGCUGAGGCGCGAAAGCGUGGGUAGCGAACGGGAUUAGAUACCCUCGUAAA
RNAcentral lists this ribosomal RNA (449 nucleotides) under uncultured bacterium. RNAcentral describes it as "bacterial SSU rRNA". It matches the Rfam family "Bacterial small subunit ribosomal RNA", at positions 330 to 794 of the family's 1533-position model. The record is from RNAcentral.